CUACGUGCCAGCAGCCGCGGUAAUACGGAAGGUCCAGGCGUUAUCCGGAUUUAUUGGGUUUAAAGGGAGCGUAGGCCGGAGAUUAAGUGUGUUGUGAAAUGUAGACGCUCAACGUCUGACUUGCAGCGCAUACUGGUUUCCUUGAGUACGCACAACGUUGGCGGAAUUCGUCGUGUAGCGGUGAAAUGCUUAGAUAUGACGAAGAACUCCGAUUGCGAAGGCAGCUGACGGGAGCGCAACUGACGCUUAAGCUCGAAGGUGCGGGUAUCGAACAGGAUUAGAUACCCUGGUAGUCCGCACAGUAAACGAUGGAUGCCCGCUGUUGGUACCUGGUAUCAGCGGCUAAGCGAAAGCAUUAAGCAUCCCACCUGGGGAGUACGCCGGCAACGGUGAAACUCAAAGGAAUUGACGGGGGCCCGCACAAGCGGAGGAACAUGUGGUUUAAUUCGAUGAUACGCGAGGAACCUUACCCGGGCUUGAA
Molecule: ribosomal RNA, 481 nt
Filed under: uncultured bacterium
Lineage: Bacteria
Description: bacterial SSU rRNA
Rfam family: Bacterial small subunit ribosomal RNA
Source: RNAcentral